Long non-coding RNA from Triticum dicoccoides, 1237 nucleotides. RefSeq lists it as uncharacterized. The record is from RefSeq and is a predicted model, not a curated record. NCBI's taxonomy places the organism in Eukaryota, Viridiplantae, Streptophyta, Magnoliopsida, Poales, Poaceae. The transcript is spliced from 3 exons.
ACACUCGAGCUCACUAUCUCAUCCUCCUCUCACCCACCCCUUAUUGCUCCCCUCUAGAUCCACGUCGUCGCCGGCCUCUCCUCGCCGCCGUCACCGGCCUCUCCUCGACUCACUUUCUCUCCACCACCAAGCACCUCGUUUCCUCCCAUCGCGCACCCCGUACCGUAGGUCAAAAGCUUGACUUUUUAGGCGCCGACGACGAGCUUCUGGGCGGCGGAGGCUGGAUCCACGUGCGUCCACGCCGGCUUCGCGGCGACGCUUGAUGUGGAGCAGCGGAUCGGGGCUUUCUUCUUCACCUCACAGCGCCAUCCUCCUCCACGACCACGCAGCCGCAGCGGCGGAGGAGCCGAAUCCCUAGCCAGCGAGCUCAGGGAGCCAUGGGUCCAUGGGGCAACGCCAUGGAAGGGCCACCAACUACAGCAGCGAGGAGAGGAGAAAGGGAGUAUCCUGACGGCUGUCUUCCACCUCCGCCUACGCCCCCGUCCUCCACCUCCACCUACACCCCCGCCGGAAAAUAGUACAAUGGCCAAGGAAAUAGGCAGGAGGCGCCACUUCCCGGAUGGACAUGGACAUGCAUCUCCAACUCUGCUUCUUCCUGGGUCGCCAUGGAAGGUCAGGAUGGCAAACCUAGGGCGUGAUGGGCACCAUGAAACAUAACAAAGGUGGAUAUCCGUCCUUUGCCGUCGGAGAGGAAGAAGACGGUAGGCAGGCUCUGGAGAUGACGCAGCAACAGCCGUCGAGCGGAGGUUGUGUUUGGACGCCCUGGUUGUGGUUCGGCAUGCGAGGCGAUCAGCAAAGGCUGCAACUCCCACAGCUCGCGUGCGAACAAUGUGGCCGGGCGACGAUUGAAGCGGCGUUUCUGUUUUGGCGGCGUGCGUUCGUGUGUGGAUGGAGCUCGUAUGCCAGGAAGAAUUGGCGUCUCGAUGGAGCUCAUACGCCAGGAAGAACUGGCGUUCGUUGGCGGGUCGAAGAAGUUUUAUUUUUGGUCGAUGGACCUCGUCCUCGUUCGUGGGUUGCGGAGCUGUUUUUUUAUUGACUGGGCGCGAUCAUGGGGUUCCAUGGACUUGUCGUUCGUGUGUAGAACUGUGGAUCUCGUACGUGGGCUGAGUUGGUGAAUAUUUUUUGUUUGCGGGCGCUGAGUUGGUGAUUCUUCGUACGUGGGCUGAGUUGGUGGGCUGCUGCGUGCGUGUGGGAGUUCGGGCUAUGGUUUUUGUUCGAAGGGAGAGGGAUCGAACAA